GACGAACGCUGGCGGCGUGCUUAACACAUGCAAGUCGAACGGAAAGGCCCUGCUUUUGUUGGGGGCUCGAGUGGCGAACGUGUGAGUAACACGGGAGUAACCUGCCCUUGACUGGGGGAUAACUUCAGGAAACUGGGGCUAAUACCGGAUAGGAGCUCCUGCUGCAUUGUGUGGGUUGGAAAGGUUCGGCGGUUGGGGAUGGACGCGCGGCUUAUCAGCUUGGUGGUGGGGUAGUGGCUUACCAAGGCUUUGACGGGUAGCCGGCCUGAGGGGGUGACCGGCGACAUUGGGACUAAGAUACGGCCCAGACUCCUACGGGAGGCAGCAGUGGGGAAUAUUGCACAAUGGGCGGACGCCUGAUGCAGCAACGCCGCGUGCGGGAUGACGGCCUUCGGGUUGUAAACCGCUUUCGCCUGUGACGAAGCGUGAGUGACGGUAAUGGGUAAAGAAGCACCGGCUAACUACGUG
RNAcentral lists this ribosomal RNA (468 nucleotides) under uncultured bacterium. RNAcentral describes it as "partial 16S ribosomal RNA". It matches the Rfam family "Bacterial small subunit ribosomal RNA", at positions 28 to 507 of the family's 1533-position model. The record is from RNAcentral.